RNAcentral lists this ribosomal RNA (523 nucleotides) under uncultured bacterium. RNAcentral describes it as "bacterial SSU rRNA". It matches the Rfam family "Bacterial small subunit ribosomal RNA", at positions 978 to 1496 of the family's 1533-position model. The record is from RNAcentral.
UUCAAAACGGGAAACGGAAAAGGACCCAAAAACCGGUUUUAAGCUUACGGGGCCCGUUCCCAAGGUUCUGCCAAGGGUGGUCGUCAGGUCGGUCCCGUUAGGUGUUCGGCUUUAGGUGCCAUAACGAAGCGCAACCCCCCNGCCGGCAGUUGCUAACGGGCAAAUGCGAGGACUUNUGCGGGGACUGCCGCGCAAAGGCGAGAGGAAGGCGGGGAUGACGUCAAAUCAGCACGGCCCUUACGUCUGGGGCGACACACGUGUUACAAUGGGCGGUACAGCGGGAAGCCAGGCGGCGACGCCGAGCGGAACCCGAAAGCCGUUCUCAGUUCGGAUCGGAGUCUGCAACCCGACUCCGUGAAGCUGGAUUCGCUAGUAAUCGCGCAUCAGCCAUGGCGCGGUGAAUACGUUCCCGGGCCUUGUACACACCGCCCGUCAAGCCAUGGGAGCCGGGGGUGCUUGAAGUGCGUCGCCGCGAGGCGCGCCCUAGAGCAAAACCGGUGACUGGGGCUAAGUCGUAACAAGG